Molecule: ribosomal RNA, 301 nt
Filed under: uncultured bacterium
Lineage: Bacteria
Description: partial 16S ribosomal RNA
Rfam family: Bacterial small subunit ribosomal RNA
Source: RNAcentral
CAGCCGCCGCGGGAAUACGUAGGGUGCGAGCGUUAAUCGGAAUUACUGGGCGUAAAGCGUGCGCAGGCGGUCGUGUAAGACAGGUGUGAAAUCCCCGGGCUCAACCUGGGAACUGCAUUUGUGACUGGCAAGCUAGAGUGUGGCAGAGGGGGUGGAAUUCCGCGUGUAGCAGUGAAAUGCGUAGAUAUGCGGAGGAACACCGAUGGCGAAGGCAGCCCCCUGGGCCAAUACUGACGCUCAUGCACGAAAGCGUGGGGAGCAAACAGGAUUAGAUACCCCUGUAGUCCCUGUCUCUUAUACA